This 68-nucleotide transfer RNA is filed under the name fish gut metagenome. It matches the Rfam family "tRNA". From Rfam's summary of the family: Transfer RNA (tRNA) molecules are approximately 80 nucleotides in length. The record is from RNAcentral. RNAcentral also lists the same sequence under 1 other name.
CCCAUAGCUCAGUUGGUUAGAGCAGCGGACUCAUAAUCCGUUGGUCCUAGGUUCAAGUCCUAGUGGGC